GGUGUAGGCAGACCCCAGGUUUCCCUUCAAGCAUUGUGUCGGACACACUGUAGAACGAUCGACCUUCCUAAAAGCUUAUGCUACCCGACUACUUACUCACUUGAAGAAUACUUCACAUAAAUUGGAAACGCUUUAAAAUGCUGGAAAUGUAUUUCUCACGAUUGCGAUUCUGAUCUCGAGGACAAUUACAAGGCAACCAAGGUCAAAUGUCAGGAAGGUCAAAGAUGUAUGAAAGUUCGAUACAGAAUGUUUGAC
Molecule: long non-coding RNA, 255 nt
Organism: Mercenaria mercenaria
Lineage: Eukaryota; Metazoa; Mollusca; Bivalvia; Venerida; Veneridae
Exons: 3
Source: RefSeq, a predicted model, not a curated record